UUAAAGUGGAUGGUUUAGUCGGUUCUUAAAGGUUAAAGUGGAUGUUUUUAGUCGGGUUCUAAAGGUUAAAAUGGAUUGUUUUAGUCGGUUCUAAAGGUUAAGUGGAUGUUUAGUCGGUUCUAAAGGUAAAGUGGAUGUUUUAGUUGGUUCACUAAAGGUUAAAGUGGAUGUUUUGGUCAGUUCUAAAGGUAAAGUGGAUUGUUUUAGUUGGUUCUAAGGUUUAAAGUGGACGUUUGUAGUCGGUUCUAAAGGUUUAAAGUGGAGUUUUAGUCGGUUUCUAAAGGUUUAAAGUGGAUGUUUUAGUCGGUUCUAAAGGUUAAAGUGGAUGUUUUGGUCGGUUCUGAAAGUUAAAGUGGAUGUUUUAGUCAGUUCUAAAGGUUAAAGUGCAUGUUUUAGUCGGUUCUAAAGGUUAAAGUGGAUGUUUUGUCGGUUCUUAAGGUUAAAGUGGAUGUUUUA
Molecule: long non-coding RNA, 456 nt
Organism: Sphaeramia orbicularis (orbiculate cardinalfish)
Lineage: Eukaryota; Metazoa; Chordata; Actinopteri; Kurtiformes; Apogonidae
Exons: 3
Source: RefSeq, a predicted model, not a curated record